CAUUGAGAAGCUUAUUAGCGCUAGCCUUUUAAGCUAGAGAUUAGAAGUUUAAAUCUUCUCUUAAUGA
RNAcentral lists this transfer RNA (67 nucleotides) under Histiotus montanus (small big-eared brown bat). Its description in RNAcentral is "tRNA-Lys". It matches the Rfam family "tRNA". Rfam says of the family: Transfer RNA (tRNA) molecules are approximately 80 nucleotides in length. Their secondary structure includes four short double-helical elements and three loops (D, anti-codon, and T loops). The record is from RNAcentral. Lineage: Eukaryota; Metazoa; Chordata; Mammalia; Chiroptera; Vespertilionidae.